CUACAUGACAAAUUAAUUGCCCACUCCCGUUAAAUCAUGAAAGAACUAUGAUUAACCACAUUAUUUUAGAAAGCUGAGUUUAUUUUACUAGCCACUCCCAGACCUGAUUACUGCCAGACCUGCUGAAUCAAGAAAUCACUUAAACAGAACCUGUCUGACAAAGUAAAGCAUGUUUAAAGAGCAGCACAUCAUGCCACGAUCUAAAGAGAUUCAAGAACAGAUGAGAAACAAAAUAGUGGACAUGUAUCAGUCUGGAAAGGGUUAUCAAGUCAUUCCUAAGGCUUUGGGACUCCAGCGAACCACGGUCAGAGCCAUUAUCCACAAAUGGAGAAAACUUGGAACAGUGGUGAACCUUCAAGGAGUGGCCCGCCUACCAAAAUUACUCCAAGAGUGCAACGACGACUCAUCCAGGAGGUCAUAAAAGAAGCCAGAACAACAUCUAAAGAACUGCAGCCUCACUCGCCUCAGUUAAGGUCAGUGUUCAUGAUUCAACACGAAAGAGACUGGGCAGAAACGGCAUCCAUGGGAGAGUUCCAAGAAAAAAUCCACUGCUGACCAAAAAGAACACAAAGACUCGUCUCACAUUUGCCAAAAAAUAUCUUGAUUAUCCCCAAGACUUUUGGGCAAAUAUUCUGUGGACUGAUGGGACAAAAGUCGAACUUUUUGGAAGGUGUGUCCCGUUACAUCUGGCAUAAAAGCAACACAGCAUUUCAUAAAAAGAACAUCAUACCAGCAGUCAAACAUGGUGAUGGUAGUGUGAAUGUCUGGGGCUGCUUUGCACCUUCAGGACCUGGACGACUUGCCAUAAUUGAUGGAAGCAUGAAUUCUGCACUCUUAUCAGAAGACCCUGAAGGAGAAUGUCCAGCCAUCAGUUUGUGACCUUAAGCUCAAGCACACUUGGGUUCUGCAGCAGGACAAUGAUCCCAAACACACCAGCAAGCCCACCUCUGAAUGGCUCAAGAAAAACAAAAUUAAGGUUUUGGAGUGGAUAAGUCAAAGUCCAGACUUAAAUCCAAUUGAGAUGCUGUGGCAUGACCUUAAACGGUCCAUUCAUGCUCCAAUGUGGCUGAAUCAAAACAAUUCUGCAAAGAAGAGUGGGCCAAAAUUCCUCCACAGUGAUAUGAAAGACUCAUUGCCAGUUAUUGCAAAUGCUUGAUUGCAGUUGUUGCUUCAAAGGUUGGCACAAACAGUUAUUAGAAUUUGGGGUCAAUUACUUUUUCACAUAGUGCCAGGCAGGUUUGGACAGCUUUUUUCCCCUUAAUAAAUUAAAUAAUUAUUUCAAAACUGCAUUUUG
Molecule: long non-coding RNA, 1294 nt
Organism: Cyprinus carpio carpio
Lineage: Eukaryota; Metazoa; Chordata; Actinopteri; Cypriniformes; Cyprinidae
Source: Ensembl